This 81-nucleotide small nuclear RNA is filed under the name Lynx canadensis (Canada lynx). Its description in RNAcentral is "U2 spliceosomal RNA (ENSLCNG00005000140.1)". Lineage: Eukaryota; Metazoa; Chordata; Mammalia; Carnivora; Felidae. The record is from Rfam by way of RNAcentral. RNAcentral also lists the same sequence under 1 other name.
AUCACUUCUCGGCCUUUUGGCUAAGAUCAAGUGUAGUAUUAGGCAGUUGUGAUUUCAUAGGCAACAUUUAUUUCACUCCCC